This 360-nucleotide RNase P RNA is filed under the name Methyloprofundus sp. RNAcentral describes it as "RNase P RNA component class A". It matches the Rfam family "Bacterial RNase P class A". From Rfam's summary of the family: Ribonuclease P (RNase P) is a ubiquitous endoribonuclease, found in archaea, bacteria and eukarya as well as chloroplasts and mitochondria. Its best characterised activity is the generation of mature 5'-ends of tRNAs by cleaving the 5'-leader elements of precursor-tRNAs. The record is from RNAcentral. Lineage: Bacteria; Pseudomonadati; Pseudomonadota; Gammaproteobacteria; Methylococcales; Methylococcaceae.
AGAGUUGGUCAGGCAGUCGCUGUAUUAGCUGAAUUUAAGUAAUACAGAGGAAAGUCCGGGCUCCACAGGGCAAGGUACCAGAUAACAUCUGGGAGGCGUGAGCCUACGGAAAGUGCAGCAGAAAAUAAACCGCCUCACCACUCUUGAGUGGUGAGGUAAGGGUGAAAUGGUGCGGUAAGAGCGCACCGCGUGACUGGUAACAGGAGCGGCAUGGUAAACCCUACCUGGAGCAAGAUCAAAUAGAGAAGCAGACGCGCGGCCCGCGCGGCUCCUGGGUAGAUCGCUUGAGCUAUCCGGUGACUUCUGGCCUAGAUGAAUGACUGUCCUCGACAACACCCGGCUUACCGACCAACUCUACAC